RNAcentral lists this long non-coding RNA (1073 nucleotides) under Homo sapiens (human). RNAcentral's name for it is "HSALNT0085358". The record is from RNAcentral. Lineage: Eukaryota; Metazoa; Chordata; Mammalia; Primates; Hominidae.
GCGAGACUCCGUCUCGGAAAAAAAAAAAAAAAAAAAGAAAGAAAAAGAAUUCUGGACACUAAAGUGCUCCAGAAAACAAGACUAACUAGAAUUCUGGAAAAGCUCUUUACAGAGACAGCACACUUAUAGAAGAGACACAUGGACCUGAGUGAAACAGAUGUGUGAGCCUCUUGAAGUAACUGUAUCCCCAAGACUUAUGAUAUGUACUGCAAUAUAUGAAGGGCCAUCCUCUGAACUCAUGAAACAACUAACUGCAUUGGAAAUAGGUUUGACUUUCUGGUAUUAUGUUAGACAGUACCCAAAUGUAAAUUAAACACACUUCGUAUGAGUUGGGGAAAAUGGGGUUGCAUUUUAUUGCUCUAAAAAGCUCAGAAAUGAGUUUUUAUAUCUUAACUUCCAUAAACAUUCCUCUUUUAGUUUUUCAGUCAGAAUGCUGAUGAAUGACCUUUACCAACUCUGUAUUUUCUACAUUCAUUGCUGUAUUUUAAAGGAGAAGCCGGAAUCUGUGUUUUCCAGGACCCCUAACCCACAGGGUUCCAGUUUAGAUUCUUGUAGCCAGAGACAAUCAUGUACAAUUUAGAAAUUGAAAGAGAAACAAAAGUAAUUAUUCACCAGCAGAAGCUGUGAACAGACCAGUGGAUAUUAUCAGAGCAGUUUUGGGGCUUCAGUAACGGUUUCUUGCUGUCCUCAGCAAAAUUUUCCAUUUCAGUCUGUUCAGGCAGCUGAAUUCUUCCAGGACAGUGGUCCUGCACCCCUUGUACUCCUGUGUUCCCUCAGGGCCAGCAGAAGUCUCUAUAACCUUCUCUAUUUCAGGCCUUCCAAUGGUCGAAUAAGCCACCUAUAUUCAAUCCCUUCCCAUCUAAAAUAUCUAGUGCGGUUUCUGUUUUCUUGGCCAAAUCUCAUUGACGUAGGAGGCCAUGAGAGAUGGUGAACAUGCAUACAUGCUGAGAUGCUUCAAAUUAGAGAGUAUUACUUUUAAAAGUACAAUCACUGGACUAAGCCUUAACUCAGUUUCUGAGAGGAGAUAGAGGCAAAAUUUGUAAAGCAAAAGGAGCAAACUAUUUGAGGAAAAU